This 404-nucleotide ribosomal RNA is filed under the name Fusobacteriota bacterium. RNAcentral's name for it is "Fusobacteria bacterium partial 16S ribosomal RNA". It matches the Rfam family "Bacterial small subunit ribosomal RNA", at positions 355 to 776 of the family's 1533-position model. Lineage: Bacteria; Fusobacteriati; Fusobacteriota. The record is from RNAcentral.
UGGGGAAUAUUGCACAAUGGAGGGAACUCUGAUGCAGCGACGCCGCGUGAGUGAUGAAGGACUUCGUUUCGUAAAACUCUGUUCUAUGGGAAGAAAGGGACUGUACCAUAGGAGAAAGCUCCGGCUAAAUACGUGCCAGCAGCCGCGGUAAUACGUAUGGAGCGAGCGUUGUCCGGAAUUAUUGGGCGUAAAGGGUGCGCAGGCGGCUUUACAAGUUGGAUGUGAAAUAUUGUGGCUCAACCACAAACGUGCAUCCAAAACUGCAAAGCUUGAGUUAAGGAGAGGUAAGUGGAAUUCCUGGUGUAGCGGUGGAAUGCGUAGAUAUCAGGAGGAAUACCGGUGGCGAAGGCGACUUACUGGACUUAAACUGACGCUCAGGCACGAAAGCGUGGGGAGCAAACAGG